RNAcentral lists this ribosomal RNA (261 nucleotides) under uncultured prokaryote. RNAcentral's name for it is "partial 16S ribosomal RNA". It matches the Rfam family "Bacterial small subunit ribosomal RNA", at positions 524 to 784 of the family's 1533-position model. The record is from RNAcentral.
UACGUAGGGUGCGAGCGUUGUCCGGAAUUAUUGGGCGUAAAGAGCUUGUAGGCGGUUUGUCGCGUCUGCUGUGAAAAUCCGGGGCUCAACCCCGGACUUGCAGUGGGUACGGGCAGACUAGAGUGUGGUAGGGGAGACUGGAAUUCCUGGUGUAGCGGUGAAAUGCGCAGAUAUCAGGAGGAACACCGAUGGCGAAGGCAGGUCUCUAGGCCACUACUGACGCUGAGAAGCGAAAGCAUGGGGAGCGAACAGGAUUAGAUA